Molecule: non-coding RNA, 31 nt
Filed under: Homo sapiens (human)
Lineage: Eukaryota; Metazoa; Chordata; Mammalia; Primates; Hominidae
Source: RNAcentral
UCCCCAAACUGGUGGCAUCUACAGACAGCUC